GUGCCAGCCGCCGCGGUAAUACCAGCCCCGCGAGUGGUAGGGACUCUUGCUGGGCCUAAAGCGCCCGUAGCCGGCCCGGUAAGUCCCUCCUUAAAGCCCCGGGCUCAACCCGGGGAGCGGGGGGAUACUGCCGGGCUAGGGGGCGGGAGAGGCCGGGGGUACCCCAGGGGUAGGGGCGAAAUCCGAUAAUCCCUGGGGGACCACCAGUGGCGAAGGCGCCCGGCUGGAACGCGCCCGACGGUGGGGGGCGAAAGCCGGGGGAGCGAACCGGAUUAGAUACCCGGGUAGUCCCGGCUGUAAACUAUGCGGGCCAGGUGUCGGGCGGGCGUUAGAGCCCGCCCGGUGCCGCAGGGAAGCCGUUAAGCCCGCCGCCUGGGGAGUACGGCCGCAAGGCUGAAACUUAAAGGAAUUGGCGGGGGGGCACACAAGGGGUGGAGCCUGCGGCUCAAUUGGAGUCAACGCCGGGAACCUCUACCGGGGGCGACAGCAGGAUGACGGCCAGGCUAACGACCUUGCCCGACGCGCUGAGGGGAGGUGCAUGGCCGUCGCCAGCUCGUGCUGUGAAGUGUCCUGUUAAGUCAGGCAACGAGCGAGACCCCCGCCCCUAGUUGCGACCCUGCGGGCGACCGCGGGGGCACACUAGGGGGACUGCCGCCGCUAAGGCGGAGGAAGGAGGGGGCCACGGCAGGUCAGUAUGCCCCGAAACCCCGGGGCUGCACGCGAGCUGCAAUGGCGGGGACAGCGGGAUCCGACCCCGAAAGGGGGAGGUAAUCCCGUAAACCCCGCCCCAGUAGGGAUCGAGGGCUGUAACUCGCCCUCGUGAACGUGGAAUCCCUAGUAACCGCGUGUCACCAACGCGCGGUGAAUACGUCCCUGCCCCUUGUACACACCGCCCGUC
RNAcentral lists this ribosomal RNA (898 nucleotides) under uncultured archaeon. RNAcentral describes it as "SSU rRNA". It matches the Rfam family "Archaeal small subunit ribosomal RNA", at positions 455 to 1354 of the family's 1478-position model. The record is from RNAcentral.